Molecule: non-coding RNA, 24 nt
Filed under: Arabidopsis thaliana (thale cress)
Lineage: Eukaryota; Viridiplantae; Streptophyta; Magnoliopsida; Brassicales; Brassicaceae
Source: RNAcentral
AUUUAUAUUUCGGAUAUUUUCGGU